CCAACAUCAUAUACAAUCUAUUUUCCAGAAUGCUCAUUUGGAGUUUGUAGAAAAUUUGAAUGUUAAAGAGCAAGUUGUUGCUGGAAUCAUGUACUAUAUAACACUUGCGGCAACUGAUGAUGCUGGAAAGAAGAAAAUAUACAAAAAGGUUUUGAACGUGAAGCAACAAAUAGUUGCUGGAAUAAUGUACUAUAUAACACUUGCGGCAAUUGAUGCUGGAAAGAAGAAAAUAUAUGAAGCUAAGAUUUGGGUGAAAGAAUGGGAGGACUUCAAGAAAGUUGUAGAAUUCAAGCUUGUUGGUGAUGAUAUUGCAAAACUUGGGGGCAUUACUGAUGUUCCAUUCCCAAAUAACCCCGAGUUCCAAGAUCUUGCUCGUUUUGCUAUUCAAGUUUAUAAUAAGAAAGAGGUUAAUUCAAAUGGCUUACUCCUCUUUUAUUUUUCGCUAGUUUCACCUUCAAACAUAUAAUAUUCAAAUUCUGAAUCCGCUACAGUUUCUAAUAAUUCUUUCAUUUGAAUGAACGUCAUAUACAAUCUAUUUUUCAGAAUGUUCAUUUGGAGUUUGUAGAAAAUUUGAACGUUAAACAACAAGUUGUUGCUGGAAUGAUGUACUAUAUAACACUUGCGGCAAUUGAUGCUGGAAAGAAGAAAAUAUAUGAAACUAAGAUUUGGGUGAAAGAAUGGGAGGACUUCAAGAAAGUUGUAGAAUUCAAGCUUGUUGGUGAUGAUAGUACAAUGCCUGGGGGCAUUGUCAAUGUUCCAAACCCAAACAACACCAAGUUAGUUCCAAGAUCUUGCUCGUUUUGCUGUUCAGGAUUAUAACAAUACACAGGUCAAUUAUAUAUAAUGACUUACUUUUAGUUUCUUAAUGAUGUACUAUAUAACACUUGCGGCAACUGAUGCCGGGAAUAAGAAAGAAUAUGAAGCCAAGAUUUGGGUGAAGGAAUGGGAGGACUUCAAGAAAGUUAUAGACUUCAAGCUUGUUGGUAAUGAUAGUGAGAAAAAACUUGGGGGCUUUACCGAAGUUCCAUUCCCAAACAGCCCCGAGUUUCAAGAUCUUACACGUUUUGCUGUUCACCAAUAUAAUAAGGACCAGGUUAUUUAUAAUGACUUACUCAUCUUCUAUUUUUUUUUCUAGUUAAUUUCACAUUCAACCCUAUAAUAUACAAAUUCAUAAUCCACUACUGUAUCUAGUAUAUAAUUCUUUCAUUUGAACGAGCGUCAUAUACAAUCAAUUUUUUCAGAAUGCUCAUCUGGAGUUUGUAGAAAAUUUGAAUGUGAAAAAACAAGUUGUUGCUGGAAUGUUGUACUACAUAACAUUUGCGGCAACAGAUGGUGGAAAGAAAAAAAUAUAUGAAACUAAGAUUUGGGUUAAGGUAUGGGAGAACUUCAAGAAAGUUGUUGAAUUCAAGCUUGUUGGUGAUGAUAGUGCAAAGCCUGGGGGAAUUAUCAAUGUUCCAUUCCCAAACAGCCCCGAAUUCCAAGAUCUUGCUCGUUUUGCUGUUCAAGAUUAUAAUAAGAAAGAGGUUAAUUAAAAUGACUUACUCCUUUUUAAUUUUUUCAUUAGUUUCACAUUCAAAUCUGUAAUAUUCAAAUUCUAAAACUACUAUAGUAACUAAUAAUUCUUUCGUUUGAACGAACGUCAUAUACAUUUUUCAGAAAGCUCAUUUGGAGUUUGUAGAAAAUUUGAAUGUUAAGGAACAAGUUGUUGCUGGAAUGAUGUACUAUAUAACACUUGUGGCAACUGAUGAUGCUGGAAAGGAGAAAAUAUAUGAAGCUAAAAUUUGGGUUAAGGAAUGGGAGAACUUCAAGAAAGUCAUAGAAUUCAAGCUUUUUAUUGGUGAUGAUGUCCCAAUACUCGGGGGCAUUAUCAAUGUUCAAGGCAUAAACAGCCUUGUGUUCCAAGAUCUUGCUCGUUUUGCUGUUCAGGAUCAUAAUAAGAAAGAGGUUAAUUAUAAUAACUUACUCAUUAUUAAUUUUUUUUUUAAUUUUACAUUCAAACUUAUAAUAUUCAAAUCCUGAAUCUACUGCAGUAUCUAAUAACUCUUUCAUUUGAAUGAACGUCAUAUACAAUCUAUUUUUCAGAAGGCUCAUUUGGAGUUUGUAGAAGUUUUGAAUGUGAAGGAACAAGUUGUUGCGGGAAUGAUGUACUAUAUAACACUUGCGGCAACUGAUGCUGGAAAGAAGAAAAUAUAUGAAGCUAAGAUUUGGGUGAAAGAAUGGGAGGACUUCAAGAAAGUUGUAGAGUUCAAGCUUGUUGGUGAUGAUAGUGCAAAGCUUGGGGGCAUUAUCAUUGUUCCAUUCCCAAUCAGCUUUGAAAUCCAAGAUCUUGCUCGUUUUGCUGUUCAAGAUUAUAAUAAGAAAGAGGUCAAUUCAAAUGAUUUAUUCCUCUAUUAUUUUUAUGUUAGUUUCACAUUCAAACCUAUAAUAUUUAAAUCUUGAAUUUACUGCAGUAUCUAAUAAUUCUUUCAUUUGAACGAAUGUCGUAUACUCUAUUUUUCAGAAUGCUCAUUUGGAGUUUGUAGAAGUUUUGAAUGUGAAAGAACAAGUUGUUGCUGGAAUGAUGUACUAUAUAACACUUGUUGCAACUGAUGAUGGAUAUAAGAAAAUAUACAAGACCAAGAUUUGGGUGAAGGAAUGGGAGAAUUUCAAGGAAGUUCAGGAAUUCAAGCAAAUUGUUUAUGCCACAAAAUGAAAUAAAACUACUCUUAUGCUGGUGUGAA
Molecule: long non-coding RNA, 2720 nt
Filed under: Solanum tuberosum (potato)
Lineage: Eukaryota; Viridiplantae; Streptophyta; Magnoliopsida; Solanales; Solanaceae
Description: long non-coding RNA (STUB_LNC006821)
Source: RNAcentral